CUGCCUACCUGAAGUGAAGCUUUCCAUGGGUAACUAAUUCUAAUGACCUGGUAUGCUGCAACAAAGCCUAAGCCACGUCUUCAUUGGCAGCUGAAGCCAGUACUGUUACCCCAACAGGAUUACUGAUCAUCUUUGGAAUUCUAUUGGAGAGUAGAGGCCUGCCAUCUUAGUGGCAUGCAGUUAAUGACUCGUAUGGGAAGGUUACUACAAUAUCCAGUUUUGAUCUUCAGCUACCAGGUAUGAACCAUAUGCAUGUGUUCCUAAGUAAUGCCAGGUUUUCAUGCCCUACCUGUAGUAUGCAAAAUUUACUCAUUCUUCUAACAUGUGCAUGGAUUUGUAUAAAUUGAUUAGAGUAUACACUUUAUAAUCAAAGCUGCACGAAUGAGGAUAGUUUAAAUGUAAAGAUGCUGAGAUAGGUUUUUCACUCACUGUUCUUCAUCCUAAGUAUUUUUUGGUAAUUCAUGUAUAUUCAAAGUUUUUGGUAUCAUAUGCAAUCCUAGCCUCUCCUAUUUUAUUUGUUUAGUAGUUGAUCUUUGCCAAUAGAAGAGGAUGUGCACAGAAAUUUUGUAAUGUGAUAUUCACUCCCAUAUUCUGCACAUCUUGUGGUAAAAUUCUGAUCUGUCUGUCUAUGCCUUACUGACAUUGAAAGCUGACUGAACUGGAAAGGGAAAAGCACACUUCAGUUUUUAAAACUUCUUUGUACCACAUUCAAAACAGAAUUUCAUCCAGUCUUCCAGCGCAGUGGCAAACAUCUCAUGACUUGCUGGGAGUUGUGCAUCUAAAGUAUUCUUAGCAAGGAAUGGUUAAUAUUUUGACUUUUUCACUUUUGACUUUAAUAUUAGACUUUUGACUCCAAAUAAAUGUGAAGUUCUUCGAACAUUCUAUUCUACCUUCCAGUGCUUAAAUUAUUGGCAGUGUUUCAAGAGUCCUGCAUCUUAUCAUGGCAAGCAUAAUCUUUCAAGGGAUUCAAACUUUAACUCUCACCUGUGCUUGGCUUUCUUUCUAAAUAAUGGGUCUUGGAGGACUAUAGACAUCUGAUCAGUCUGGCUGAGAGCCUGGACUGCUGAAAGAUAUGAGGCAGCCUGUUUUCAGGCAGUCUUGAAGCAAUCCCUGUAGUUUUGAGCCUGAGAAAGAAUUAACAGUGACUUCUUGCUCAGGAAGAACAAAGAUUGCCUGGAAGCCAGAGAUGAAAGUAUAAGGAAUCACAUUUGGGCUUAGUGGUGAGAGAGAACCAUAAAGAGAGUGACUCCAAUGUGGAGCCCUGUCUGAGUCUCUCUUUAGACAACCGCCUGUAUCACUGUUAAUGAGAUAAACUCAUCAGAGAAUACCUUAAUUUGUGCUCUAGUAUAGAGCAGAUGUGAAAUUGAAGGAGCUAGAAGGGAGAAGCUGUAGUUUGACCAGGUUUAUUCUUCACAGCCAUCUGCAUGUCCAGUCAGCACUUAUAUGAGAAGUGAGUGCCUACAGUGCCUGCUCUCCCCUCCAGAAAGCUUGGCUUGUCCGUUGAUUGUCACCAUUACCCAGAGGUCUUCUUCAUUUUGAAUAUCAGUGACGCUAUCCUUUGUCCUUUUGAUAUUUUUGCUUCUUUCUACCCAGAUUUUACAUUUGUCUUGGCUAGAAAUGUUCAUUUUUCUGUCCUAAAGUCAUGGUCUGUUGUACAUGUACACACGUUCACGCACACACAAACUGCCUGCAAGUUAAAAAAAAAAAAAAAGGUGUGAAGAAAUCCAAUUAUCCUCUGGCUUCAAGGCUUUCGUUUCCAUAGAAGCCAAUAAGAAAGGUUGGAAAUAGUUAGCUCUGUUGGCCACAUUACAUAAUUAAUAUGUGUGACAUGCGUAUGGCUCUCCAAAAGGUAGUUCCAGGGUCAUCAUGUCUACUGAUAGCAUUUACAGCAGUAAUACUAGGAAUAAAAGGGUAUGUUUUAUGCUACAAAUAGUAUGCACAAAGCAUAAAUAAAUUUUAUGCUUUUGGAUAUAAGGAAAAAGUCCUUAACAGUGAGGGAGAUAAAGCACUGGAAGAGAUGUGAUGGAUGCCCAGUCCCUGGAGACAGACAAGCUCAGGUUGGACCAUGCUCUGGGCAACCUGAUCUGGCUGUGGACGUCUCUGUUCAUUGUAGGGGAUUUGGACUAGAUGACCUUUAAAAGCCCCUUCCAACUCUAAGGAUUCUAUGAUUCUAUAAUAGUGUCUUAAAUCUAUCUCUCUUUGAAACACACUGAGGUAUAUUAAGCAUGAAUAAGAACAAGCCAAGAGAGUAGUGGUAGAGAACUUAGAAAGGGAAUAACAUGCCCAAGUUAACCCAGCCACAGUCAAGUAACUUUAGGAAAAGAUUUCAUGUGUCCUACUUUGUGGAGGCAUGUAAAAAGGGAGUAGAUUAAAGGAGAAAUACUUUAAAGAGGCAAUAAAAUGGUGAGUCUAAGCAUUUCUUUUGAGGAUGUGAAGUAAGAAACUGUGGUGGGACAGUCUCCACAGAGCCUCAGGACAGAAGAGAAAUGAAGGCCACCCAGUUAACCUGGUAUUAAUGAACCUUAGAGGUCUUGUCAGUCUAGCAGGCGUGACUAGCUUGAGGCAGGAAGAAAUCUAAGUAGGUGGCAUAGCUUGAAGAAAUAAGGAAUUCAGACUACUUUUUCUUCUGCUCUCCUCCUAUGUGCUGCUUAGAUUUGUGAUGCUACUCAAUUGCUUCUAGGCAGCUGUCUGUGUGACCACUAUGAGAUAACAAGGAAUUGUUCAUCCUGUUACAGGUGAAUGUCUGAAGUUCAUCACGCACCUUAAGGAGAGGCAGGAAGGAAAGAGUCUGAAAUGGGGUUGAUGAAAGCUUGUGUUAAUUGAGCCAAGGUGUACCUAAAAAAGGAUAGUUGUUAGGCUCUCUGUAGCCUGGUGAUACCUAUAGCUAAGCAAAAAAAAAAAAGUUUUCCACUGGGUAUGACCAUGAUGUAACUCUUUCAAAAAAAAAAGUAUCUGUAGCUUAAGAGAAUUCCUUUCUCUUCAUUUUUUUUUUUCCUCCAGACUUUGGAAGAAUUUGAUAUACAGAAGAACAAAAUGUUAUUAGAGCCUGCGGUACAAAUGUUGGAGCUUUAAACUAUCAGCCUAAAUGGGUCUUCAGAUGGAAUCAUGUAAUAAACACUUACAUAUGUUCUGUCUCUUGUGGGCAGUGCUGAGUUUGCAACUGAGCUAGUUUCCACUGAAAAAAUUCCAACUAAUGCUGCCCACAAAGCUCUGCCCAAACAACGUUCAUGCUUCUCCUACAGAACCACAUUUGACAUAAAGCUCUAGUGAACUCAACUUAUGGUCUGUAAGAUCUGCCUCUUGUUGCCUCCAAAUCUUUUCUAUAUAUGAAAGAUCAGCUGAAACAUGGGCAGUAUAUGCUGGAACAUUUGUCAGGUGUUUUAGAAGGCCGUGGCUGUGGCAGUGAGCAGUUCUGUGACUAGAUGGUGCACUUGCCACGUGGUAUAUGAGAACUGCAAUUAGAGAGGCAAUAGUUGCUCUUUACAAAGAUAUCUGUGUAAGCUCAGGUUGUGAUUAUAAUGUGCACAUCUGUCUUCGUCUUUGGAGAAGGAUUAUUUCAGCCGUGGGAUAUGUGGAAAUUCUGGGUUUUGAGCAUUGAAACCAUUAAUGGCAUAUAUUCAGUACAACUUAAAAUAGGGAAAAAAAAAAGUACAGUAUGUCUGUCCAUAUAUUCAGCUACAAUUUAUAUUGCCCGAUUUGCAGAUUUGCAAUUACACUGUACUUAAACUUGCCUGACAAUUCUCUUUCUAGGAGCCUGUGUUGGGGUUGCAAUAGCAAUGCCUGAUGCAAAUCAUCUCUGCUCAGGUUUCCCAUGCUCAGUUUCUGGCUCAGACUAAUGUUGUUUUAAGUCUCAGCAAAAAAAAAAAAAAAGCUUGGUUUUCAAGGAUGAGAAUAGAUUGACUCUUCUGCUUUUUAUUUUAAAAAUAAUAAUCUGACAGUUGUGUUGAAGCUUAGCAGUUCAAUCUCAAAGGCUGCUCAUACAAAUUUUGUGUCCUUUUAACGUGAGUCUUAUUGGGGUUCCACACAUUUCUAGGUAUUAGUGCAACAGUUAAAACAAGUAAAUGCCAGAUUUAUUGGAAACAACUCAUCCCAAUGAAAGUCAAGCCUUUUAAAAGUAGUACAUCUCCUACAGGCCAGAGCUCUACCCUCCUAAAGUCUCAGGGCUUCUGGAUAAAAUUUACUGUCUCACAGAUAACGACUUAUUGUGCCUUAACUGGCCCUGUUACAGGCUUCAUGAAGCUGCCUAUCAGCUGCAAAUAAAGAAAAGCUAUUUGAGUUGUUUUGUCUUUGAGUCUCAGUGAAUGGAUGCCUUGUGUUUGCUGCAUGCUGACAGUUGCACAGAAUCUCAGGAUGCAGCUGGUUGCUGAGAUUAUUAUGCUGUAGAAGGGUCCAGAUUUCAGAGCCUGGAGUGUGACGGACCUGGGGUUCUUAUUCUGAAUUCUAUCCAUUGACAGGGGUGGACAUUUUAAGACUCUUAAAUGUAAAAUUUCAUAGCUUUCAGACAAACUUUCAAUAAAUAUUUUCUCAUGAAAAGGGCAAGUGGGAAGAAAGUACGCCUGCAGUACGAUUCAUUUUUUUAAUUUCUUUUUUUGAACUAAGAUUUCAUGAUAAAGCUUCUAGUCUGAAAUUAGAACUGAAACUGGAGCCAUAGAGGGCCUUAGGGUUGCAUACUCUUUGGAUGUGACUGCAUUCUUCUCAAAGUUCAGUGAGAAUAUUGUGUGAUUGCUGGGAUAUGCAAGCUUAGUACUUAACAAAGAGGCAUGCAUCACGCAUAUGGCAAACAUGUUUUGCCUUGACACAGAUCUGCUGGUGUGGCUCAAAAGGUUCAGCUGUAGCUCACUGCUCAUUUACCUAAAUGAGCAGAGGGCAUAUUUAAGAAGCGCAGUCUGGGGAAUCAAUUUCUACUUGUAACAGAGCAUUAUGACAUGAGAGAACAAAA
RNAcentral lists this long non-coding RNA (4939 nucleotides) under Gallus gallus (chicken). Lineage: Eukaryota; Metazoa; Chordata; Aves; Galliformes; Phasianidae. The record is from RNAcentral.